This is a long non-coding RNA of Bubalus bubalis (water buffalo), 256 nucleotides long. RefSeq lists it as uncharacterized. The transcript has 3 exons. The record is from RefSeq and is a predicted model, not a curated record. NCBI's taxonomy places the organism in Eukaryota, Metazoa, Chordata, Mammalia, Artiodactyla, Bovidae.
GACCUUAAUGGGGCUUAUGACACAGGAAGAAACAGAAUUUCGUCUCUGCCUCCGCUUCCUGAUACACACACCCCAAAACCCUUGGAAUCUCUGAAGGACAUGUCUUUUGUAUGGCACACACGUAAUUACUCUGUAUACAGAAUGAAUAAAAGGGUGAAUGAAGGAAGAGCGGAUAUGUCUAUGGCCUGAGAGUUUCUGUUGCACAAUUUAGGAUCUUAGAAGGCUGGCGGUAAUAGUCUCUUCCUCUAGGACGGAG